Molecule: ribosomal RNA, 433 nt
Filed under: uncultured bacterium
Lineage: Bacteria
Description: partial 16S ribosomal RNA
Rfam family: Bacterial small subunit ribosomal RNA
Source: RNAcentral
AACGAACGCUGGCGGCAUGCCUAACACAUGCAAGUCGAACGAAACCUUCGGGUCUUGUGGCGCACGGGUGCGUAACGCGUGGGAACCUGCCCUUAGGUUCGGAAUAACUCCCCGAAAGGGGUGCUAAUACCGGAUAAUGUCUUCGGACCAAAGAUUUAUCGCCUUUGGAUGGGCACGCGUUGGAUUAGCUAGUUGGUAGGGUAAAAGCCUACCAAGGCGACGAUCCAUAGCUGGUCUGAGAGGAUGAUCAGCCACACUGGGACUGAGACACGGCCCAGACUCCUACGGGAUGCAGCAGUGGGUAAUAUUGGACAAUGGGCGAAAGCCUGAUCCAGCAAUGCCGCGUGAGUGAUGAAGGCCUUAGGGUUGUAAAGCUCUUUUACCCGGGAUGAUAAUGACAGUACCGGGAGAAUAAGCUCCGGCUAACUCCGUG